GUACACGCUGUGACUAGCAUAUCAAUAAGCGGAGGAAAAGAAACUAACAAGGAUUCCCCUAGUAACGGCGAGUGAAGCGGGAAGAGCUCAAAUUUGAAAUCUUAAAGGGUUUCCCUUUACGAAUUGUAGUUUAAAGAAGUGUUUUCUGUUGAGGUUUUGGUAAGAGUUCUUUGGAAUAGGACAUCAUAGAGGGUGAGAAUCCCGUAUUUGACCUUUACUUUCAACUUUGUGAUGACACUUUCAAAGAGUCGGAUUGUUUGGGAAUGCAGUCCAAAACUGGGUGGUAAAUUUCAUCUAAAGCUAAAUAUUGGCGAGAGACCGAUAGCGAACAAGUACCGUGAGGGAAAGAUGAAAAGAACUUUGAAAAGAGAGUUAAACAGUACGUGAAAUUGUCAAAAGGGAAGCGUUUGACACCAGUGUUGUUUCUCUGAAAAUCAAUUAAAGAACUGUUUAUGCUAAGCUGUUUAGACUUUAUCAGCUAAUCUGUUUAGUUUUAGAGCUUUUCUUUAAUGCACUUUUCAGUUAACAAGUCAACAUCAAUUUCCUUUUGCUGUAAAAAAGCUUGAGGAAGGUGGCUUGAGAUUCGUCUUAAGUGUUUAUAGCCUCUUGCCUAUGCAGUCGGAGAGAUUGAGGUCUGCAGCGUAGAUCCUUCGGGGCUAAGUGCAUUUGUGCUAAGUUAUAGCAUUUUAUAGACAACUUGUUGACUAUGAUUUGUCUUGUAGCUUACUCGCUUAUGUUAUUUUACCUACGCUUAGGAUGUUGAAGAUGUAGCACAUCAU
Molecule: ribosomal RNA, 779 nt
Filed under: uncultured Neocallimastigales
Lineage: Eukaryota; Fungi; Neocallimastigomycota; Neocallimastigomycetes; Neocallimastigales
Description: partial large subunit ribosomal RNA
Rfam family: Eukaryotic large subunit ribosomal RNA
Source: RNAcentral